ACAAUUAAAUAUAUGCGAAAAAUCAAAAGCAACAAUUAUAAAAUCACCAAACCAUAAGAUCAAGUUCGGCAACAUCAAACCCUAGAUAAAUUAUUUAGUUCAUGAUAUGGAACAUGAAAUUCAUAUAAUUCAUAAUAGACAACAUAAGGAAAAGGAUAGAAAAACAAAUCUUUUUGUGUAGAUUUUUAAUCUUCUUCCUUGAUGUUGUUCUUGCAUUCUUUUGGUGUCUUCAAUUUUUGCCU
RNAcentral lists this long non-coding RNA (242 nucleotides) under Olea europaea (common olive). RNAcentral's name for it is "long non-coding RNA (OEUR_LNC009389)". The record is from RNAcentral. Lineage: Eukaryota; Viridiplantae; Streptophyta; Magnoliopsida; Lamiales; Oleaceae.